GUGAACGCUGGCGGUAGGCCUAACACAUGCCCGUCGAACGGCAGCACCGUAAGAGCUUGCUCUUACGGGUGGCGAGUGGCGGACGGGUGAGGAAUACAUCGGAAUCUACUUUUUCGUGGGGGAUAACGUAGGGAAACUUACGCUAAUACCGCAUACGACCUACGGGUGAAAGCAGGGGAUCUUCGGACCUUGCGCGAUUGAAUGAGCCGAUGUCGGAUUAGCUAGUUGGCGGGGUAAAGGCCCACCAAGGCGACGAUCCGUAGCUGAUCUGAGAGGAUGAUCAGCCACACUGGAACUGAGACACGGUCCAGACUCCUACGGGAGGCAGCAGUGGGGAAUAUUGGACAAUGGGCGCAAGCCUGAUCCAGCCAUACCGCGUGGGUGAAGAAGGCCUUCGGGUUGUAAAGCCCUUUUGUUGGGAAAGAAAGGCAGCAGGUUAAUACCCCGCUGUUCUGACGGUACCCAAAGAAUAGGCACCGGCUAACUUCGUG
RNAcentral lists this ribosomal RNA (491 nucleotides) under uncultured bacterium. RNAcentral describes it as "partial 16S ribosomal RNA". It matches the Rfam family "Bacterial small subunit ribosomal RNA", at positions 29 to 507 of the family's 1533-position model. The record is from RNAcentral.